GAUGAACGCUGGCGGCGUGCCUAAUACAUGCAAGUCGAGCGAACGGACGAGAAGCUUGCUUCUCUGAUGUUAGCGGCGGACGGGUGAGUAACACGUGUAUAACCUACCUAUAAGACUGGGAUAACUUCGGGAAACCGUAGCUAAUACCGGAUAAUAUUUUGAACCGCAUGGUUCAAAAGUGAAAGACGGUCUUGCUGUCACUUAUAGAUGGAUCCGCGCUGCAUUAGCUAGUUGGUAAGGUAACGGCUUACCAAGGCAACGAUGCAUAGCCGACCUGAGAGGGUGAUCGGCCACCCUGGAACGGAGACACGGUCCAGACGCCUACGGGAGGCAGCAGUAGGGAAUCUUACGCAAUGGGCGAAAGCCUGACGGAGCAACGCCGCGUGAGUGAUGAAGGUCUUCGGAUCGUAAAACUCUGUUAUUAGGGAAGAACAUAUGUGUAAGUAAAUGUGCACAUCUUGACGGUACCUAAUCAGAAAGCCACGGCUAACUACGUG
This 497-nucleotide ribosomal RNA is filed under the name uncultured bacterium. RNAcentral's name for it is "partial 16S ribosomal RNA". It matches the Rfam family "Bacterial small subunit ribosomal RNA", at positions 28 to 507 of the family's 1533-position model. The record is from RNAcentral.